RNAcentral lists this long non-coding RNA (259 nucleotides) under Mytilus galloprovincialis (Mediterranean mussel). The record is from RNAcentral. Lineage: Eukaryota; Metazoa; Mollusca; Bivalvia; Mytilida; Mytilidae.
GUUCAUUUUUUUUUUAUAUAAAUAAGGCCGUUAGUUUUCUCGUUUGAAUUGUUUUACAUUGUCAUAUCGGGGCCUUUUAUAGCUGACUAUGCGGUAUGGGCGUUGCUCAUUGUUGAAGACCGUACGGUAACCUAUAGUUGUUAAUGUCUGUGUCAUUUUGGUCUCUUGUGGACAGUUGUCUCAUUGGCAAUCAUACCACAUCUUCUUUUUUAUAUUAAUAUAUUUCUCUUUUACCAAAAGUUUCAUUUCUGCCAAUUUG